RNAcentral lists this transfer RNA (73 nucleotides) under Corchorus olitorius. It matches the Rfam family "tRNA". Rfam says of the family: Transfer RNA (tRNA) molecules are approximately 80 nucleotides in length. Their secondary structure includes four short double-helical elements and three loops (D, anti-codon, and T loops). The record is from Rfam by way of RNAcentral. Lineage: Eukaryota; Viridiplantae; Streptophyta; Magnoliopsida; Malvales; Malvaceae.
GUCGGGAUAGCUCGGUUGGUAGAGCAAAGGACUGAAAAUCCUCGUGUCACUAGUUAAAAUCCGAUUCCUGGCA